RNAcentral lists this ribosomal RNA (253 nucleotides) under uncultured Oscillospira sp. Its description in RNAcentral is "partial 16S ribosomal RNA". It matches the Rfam family "Bacterial small subunit ribosomal RNA", at positions 524 to 776 of the family's 1533-position model. The record is from RNAcentral. Lineage: Bacteria; Bacillati; Bacillota; Clostridia; Eubacteriales; Oscillospiraceae.
UACGGAGGGUGCAAGCGUUACUCGGAAUCACUGGGCGUAAAGAGCGCGUAGGCGGGAUAGCAAGUCAGAUGUGAAAACCAUGGGCUCAACCUGUGGCCUGCAUUUGAAACUGUUUUUCUUGAGUACUGGAGAGGCAGACGGAAUUCCUAGUGUAGCGGUGAAAUGCGUAGAUAUUAGGAGGAACACCAGUGGCGAAGGCGGUCUGCUGGACAGCAACUGACGCUGAGGCGCGAAAGCGUGGGGAGCAAACAGG